Molecule: ribosomal RNA, 405 nt
Filed under: uncultured bacterium
Lineage: Bacteria
Description: bacterial SSU rRNA
Rfam family: Bacterial small subunit ribosomal RNA
Source: RNAcentral
GACGAACGCUGGCGGCGUGCUUAAGACAUGCAAGUCGUACGAGAAAGUCUCUUCGGAGAUGAGUAAAGUGGCGCACGGGUGAGUAACGCGUGGGUAAUCUGCCCUUAGGUUUGGGAUAACCCCGGGAAACCGGAGCUAAUACCGAAUGAGACCACGAUGACUUCGGUCGAUGUGGGAAAAGGUGGCCUCUUCUUGAAAGCUAUCGCCAAAGGAUGAGCCCGCGUUUGAUUAGCUAGUUGGUGAGGUAAUGGCUCACCAAGGCGACGAUCAAUAGCUGGUCUGAGAGGAUGAUCAGCCACACUGGAACUGAGAUACGGUCCAGACUCCUACGGGAGGCAGCAGUCAGGAAUAUUGGGCAAUGGGCGAAAGCCUGACCCAGCAACGCCGCGUGAAGGAUGAAGGCCU